Long non-coding RNA from Cyprinus carpio (common carp), 1075 nucleotides. Lineage: Eukaryota; Metazoa; Chordata; Actinopteri; Cypriniformes; Cyprinidae. The record is from Ensembl.
GGGGACCGAGUGCUGCCGUUUCCCCGGAGGGUGGUCCAGCUCGAAGGCGCACCCCGAACGGUCAGCAGGCCGACGGUUCCCCCACCGCAGGAUGAACCCAUGCCCAGCGCUGAACCACCAUCACCCCCGCGAGCGUGGCUGGCAGGCUGCAUCGUCCACCAGCACGUACCGUCGGGAGCCCCCGAAGCAGAGGUGACGGUGGAAGGGAAACGUUUCCGGGCCCUGCUGGACUCAGGCAGUGCGGUCACCCUCAUCCAGUCGCGGUUGUGCCCACCCCCCGAAUCGGCCAGAAAAGCUUCCUCCCGAUUACCUGUGUACAUGGAGAUACUCGCCAAGUACCGGCCCGAAGAAUCACCAUUGCAUCACCCCAAGGCGCCUGGCUGGUGGAGGUUGGCCUGGUGAAGGACCUGCCGGUGGUCGUACUGCUGGGGAGGGAUUGGCCCGGCUUCGACAGACUGCUCACUGCCGCUACUCAGCCUGCCAGCCCCGAGGGGAACCGUCGAAGACGGAGACGGCCUCGGGCACCCCGCCGCCGUCCGGCGCUGCUCGCCUCCGACAGUGGGAGAGAAGGUGAGUCCCCCUCCCAGCCUACUAACUUAUUUUAUGAUGUGUACCAACAGGCGGCUGGAGGGGGCUCGUUCGCCAGGGAACAGCGGGAGGACGACCGACUCAAGCACUGUUGGGCACAAGUGCGAGUCGUGGAUGGAGAGGACGUCCUUUCCCGGCCCCACCCUCUCCCACAUUUUGUCGUGGAGAAAGGCCUGCUGUACUGUGUCGCCCAGCGAAGGGGGGAGGAAAAAAAGUUGCUAGUCGUGCCUCGAGCCAAGACCGAGACCAUCCUGGAGCUGGCCCAUUCCCACCCCAUGGCAGGUCACCUCGCGGCAGCCAACACCACCCAAUGCAUCCGCGACCGCUUCCACUGGCCGGGCCUGGAGGCCGAAGUAAAGCGGUUCUGCCAAGCCUGCCCGACCUGCCAGGCCACGUCGCCCAGGACCCCUCCCCCCAGCCCACUCAUCCCGCUGCCUAUCAUCGAGGUGCCCUUCGAGCGGAUUGGAAUGGACAUAGUGGGGCCAUU